UCGCAGUUACAACAUAUCAAUAUUAAUCAAUUUCAAUUACAUACUUAUGGUAAUUUCAUUUCUUCAGUCGAUAAACAGUGAACACAUCGAAUUGAAAUAAUCUCAAAUAGUAUUUAAUGUCACGGUUUCGUUUAAAAUAAUUAAUUUUAAAAAAAAAAUAUCGGAUAAACAUUGUUUUUCAACAAUUAAUUUAUACACAACUUUAAUUAUCAAUUUUUAAUUUUAAAUAAUUUAAAUAGUUAAAAUUAAGACUUGUAUGUAAAUAUUUUUAAAAAAAAUAUAAUAUGAAGACUUUCACCGUGUGUUGGCUUACGCUAGUAUAUUAUACACUAGCAAUAAAUGGAGAUGUUUAUUUUCCAUCAAGGAAGAUUGACAACGAAUGGUGGCCAAACACAAUAAUAUAUCAAGCAUAUCCAAGAUCGUUUAAAGACAGUAAUAACGAUGGUGUAGGUGAUUUAAAAGGUAAAAACUGUUGUUCUAUUGCUAUACCAAAAAACGAAAAACAAUUAUGCCAAUUAUAGAAAAAUUUCAGGAAUAACCCAGAAACUCGACCAUUUCGUUGACCUUGGUAUAGAAACUUUGUGGGUAGGCCCUAUAUUCAAAUCACCAAUGAUUGACAUGGGUUAUGAUGUAGACAAUUUUACAAUGAUAGAUCCUAUUUUUGGUACUAUGGAAGAUUUUGAUGAAUUAGUGUCAGAAAUGAACAAACGGAGUAAAUUAAAAUUAAAAUAACACAAAUAUUGAUUAAUUAUAACUAUUAUUUUAAGUAUUUCUCCUUUAGAUCUGAAAUUAAUAAUAGACAUUAUUCCAAAUCAUUCAAGUGACAAAUGUGAAUGGUUUCAAAAAUCAAUCAAACGAGAUGAAAAAUACGA
Molecule: non-coding RNA, 872 nt
Organism: Cinara cedri
Lineage: Eukaryota; Metazoa; Arthropoda; Insecta; Hemiptera; Aphididae
Source: the annotation of a GenBank genome assembly